This is a non-coding RNA of Pisolithus albus, 85 nucleotides long. NCBI's taxonomy places the organism in Eukaryota, Fungi, Basidiomycota, Agaricomycetes, Boletales, Pisolithaceae. The record is from the annotation of a GenBank genome assembly.
GCCCGCCUAGCUCAAUCGGAUAGAGCGUCAGACUCUUAAAAGUUAGGCGAUCUGAAGGCUGCGAGUUCGACCCUCGCGGUGGGCU